This 484-nucleotide ribosomal RNA is filed under the name uncultured bacterium. RNAcentral's name for it is "partial 16S ribosomal RNA". It matches the Rfam family "Bacterial small subunit ribosomal RNA", at positions 30 to 507 of the family's 1533-position model. The record is from RNAcentral.
AUUGAACGCUGGCGGCAGGCCUAACACAUGCAAGUCGAGCGGAUGAAGGGAGCUUGCUCCUGGAUUCAGCGGCGGACGGGUGAGUAAUGCCUAUGAAUCUGCCUGGUAGUGGGGGAUAACGUCCGGAAACGGGCGCUAAUACCGCAUACGUCCUGCGGGAGAAAGUGGGGGAUCUUCGGACCUCACGCUAUCAGAUGAGCCUAGGUCGGAUUAGCUAGUUGGUGGGGUAAAGGCCUACCAAGGCGACGAUCCGUAACUGGUCUGAGAGGAUGAUCAGUCACACUGGAACUGAGACACGGUCAAGACGACUAAGGGAGGCAGCAGUGGGGAAUAUUGGACAAUGGGCGAAAGCAUGAUCCAGCCAUGCCGCGUGUGUGAAGAAGGUCUUCGGAUUGUAAAGCACUUUAAGUUGGGAGGAAGGGCAGUAAGUUAAGACCUUGCUGUUUUGACGUUACCAACAGAAUAAGCACCGGCUAACUUCGUG